This is a long non-coding RNA of Serinus canaria (Common canary), 2354 nucleotides long. RefSeq lists it as uncharacterized. The record is from RefSeq and is a predicted model, not a curated record. NCBI's taxonomy places the organism in Eukaryota, Metazoa, Chordata, Aves, Passeriformes, Fringillidae. The transcript is spliced from 2 exons.
AGCCAAACUAUAAUAUUGCUUCAACGCCAUUUUAAGCGGAGCAAAAAUAAAGGGUGAAGUCCAAAACAAGAUUCUGUGCAAAGAAAUCAACACAGAGUCCUUCUGUGAUAAAGGCUUUAGUGGAGGGAGGUGGCUACAGUCUCGUGGUCCAAACCCCAAAGAACUUUUUUAUUUUCAAGUCCUUGGCUUCAGGGACAGUGCUGUGUGAGCAAGGACUAGAAAAAGAAUCAGAACAUUACGAGCCUUCCCCGCAGUUGAAGUACCCAGUUGGACAGCAGAGGGGGUAAUUCUGUACAUCCAAGGAAAAGCCAUUCCAUCAGCAAAAGGAAGGCCUGGGAUGAAGCUGUGGAGACUGACAUGAAAGGAACAGAUCAAUAUGCAGUGAUGGCUGCUGUCAGUGAGACACCACAGAGCACAGAUCAGCAUUGCAACAACAUGAAAGGAGAGAAGAGUCACGAGCCAUCCCCCAGAAAAACAUACUGAAGCAGUAACAGGGACUUCAAAGAAUGAACACUGCUCCUUUUGGGGUUCUGCACUGCAAAGAUGAAGUUAUUGCUGUGAUUUCAAACAAUUAUAGGGAGAGGGAAGAACUUUCUGGUCUCUGAAGAGUGUGAACCAAGAGGCAUCAAUGGAGGUGUUGACUAAUACUUUUAAAGCAUCCCCUGUGUCUAACAUGAUCCACAAGGAAAGGAACUUCAAUCAGCUCUUCAAAAGCUCUCCAUAGUAUCUCUCACAUCUCUCAGGAACUUCAAUCAGCUCUUCAAAAGCUCUCCAUAGUCUCUCUCACAUCUCUCAAACUUUCAGUAAAUUGCUUAAUUUUUCUGGAACUUACACAGGCAUUUGGAAAUGCUUAGUAAUUUGAGAAAAGGAAACUACUAUGAACAUAACAAGACUAAACUUCUGUUUUACUAAACUACUGGUUAGUAGCUACAGUGAGUUUAGGCAGUUGGAUAUUGUCAAACACUAAGAAAUACCUACCAGGCCAAUAUGAUGGCUCACUGGUUUUUAGAACACAUCUUGCCUGAACUGCUAAGAGAACAUUAGUAAAGCCACAGUAAAUACACAUCCUCCUAAACUGCAUGUAAAGCUACAGCUAAAGCAAAGCUUUAUUUGUAAAGCAGACAGGUGAAGUAAAUAACAGAAAAGGUCUGUUAGUAGCUCAGCUUUAUCAGAAUUUUAAACUGAUAAAUCAUCCCUUGCUUAGCUAAGAACAACCAACACACACUGCCAGGAAGACAAACACAACCUCUCUUUUGGCUCCAGGAGCUCAAGUGACAAAAAUUUCUGUUUCUUUUAAUUGAGAGAUACAUAGAGUGGUAAUGAGGAAGUUUGAAACAUCUAUUCCUAGGGGACAUUGGUAAAAAAAAGCAACUAAACUUGGGACUAAAUACUAGGGACAAUGUAACAAAAAUUGUAACAUUCUGUUGAUCUGUUAACUCUGUUUCCCACAUUUUCAAGAAACAUAUUUAAUGUUUCAGGGAUGCAGCAAGUUAUGCCUGAGAGCACUAUCAUUCACCAGUUCACAUGAAAAUUUUGCAGAAAUCAGAUCUCAAAAUCUUUGAGCAAUCAAAAGGCUUUUAAGUUGGCCCUUAAUUCUAAUUUAAAUGCUUAUUCUACAUAAUUAACUCAGCAAGAGUAGGUGAUCAAAUCUUCAUACCUGCAGAAAAGGUCAGACAUGACUGCUCCUUGGAUAUCACUUAUUAAUCUUUGGAAACCAGAUUUGGAUCUCAUAAAAGAGGAAGAGUUAUUCUGGUAUGGAUUUCAUGGAGCUGCAGCAAUGCAGCUUUGACAGUCACCUCUCCUCAGAGUUUACACCUCUUCACAGCACAAAUGACAGAUUGCUGCAUCCAGCCUCAGGAAGGGAACUGCUGUUUCACAUUCCACAACCUGGCUCCUUAUUGUUAAGUCUUUAUCAAAAGCAAGAAACCUCUGAAUAAAUUAUGUUAUGAACAGAAGUUUUGGCAAGACAAAGACGACACUUCACACAGCAGUUAAUAUAAAGAGAGGAUAAUAGUCCUGCCAAAGACAAUAAAUACUAGAAGAAAUGGCUUUCAGUUUUAGAGGCCCUGAGCAAUAUUGCUGGUGUUCAUUUUAAGAUCUGCUUCUUCUACGACACAAUUCCCUUAAGAUUGUUCUUAAAUGUGAAAAGGAUGGAUGUUUUUGUUUUGGGAUCAUUCAAAAUGUUGGAAUUGCAAACCACAGGCUUGAACUGAGGUGAGAGUUAACAUCACUUUGCCACUAAUUUCUUUCAACUGCAUCCUUCUCUUUUGUGAUCUCCCUUCCCCCCACUAAAAAAAUCUCCAGGCAUUACUAUCGAAAAUAUACUCAUGUAAUAAAUCAUGUAUUUGCUCUCA